Drosophila montana is the source of this 355-nucleotide long non-coding RNA. RefSeq lists it as uncharacterized. The transcript is spliced from 2 exons. The record is from RefSeq and is a predicted model, not a curated record. NCBI's taxonomy places the organism in Eukaryota, Metazoa, Arthropoda, Insecta, Diptera, Drosophilidae.
CCACGGACAAUGUGAAGCGAAAAAAUAUGUUCAGACAUACAAAUAUUAAUAAAUCGGACUGGAGUUGCUGGAAAUUUGGCAAUGGACGAGUUGAGAUACAAUGCUUGCUGGGGCGAACUGGAUAUGCUAGGUGUUGUAGUAGGGCGUCCGCAGGGCUUCCUGGUAAACUUUGCUCGAAUUGCUGUAUCGUUGGGGGAGCGUUUCUGCUCUGCACAAAAUUUCCUCGAUAUUUUAGAAAAAACACGUUAGUUCACUUGAAGGUUAUUUUUUCGUCUGGUUGGUAUAUUUUCAGAAGAUAUGUACAAUGUAUUAGUGUAGGUGUGGUGAAUAAGAAAUUUCAUGUUCUGGUUCCGGA